Non-coding RNA from Brassica rapa (field mustard), 146 nucleotides. Lineage: Eukaryota; Viridiplantae; Streptophyta; Magnoliopsida; Brassicales; Brassicaceae. The record is from RefSeq and is marked provisional.
CAAUGCAAACACUGUGGCAAAGAGAUGUCUGGCUUGCAACAUCUGAAAUGUCACUUGGGUGGUGUAGGUUCAGAUGUGAACAUUGUCACAUCUACUGUUAGAGAUGUUGCAAGCCAGACAUUUCCUUUCCCACAGUGUUCACAGUC